AUGGUUGGACCACUGAGAACAGGCAGGAGCGGCUUCACUCAUGUGCUGGUAGCAGUCGACAAGUUCACCAAAUGGAUUGAAGCCAAGCCUAUCAAGAAUCUUGAUGCUUGCACUGCUAUCAGUUUCAUCAGAGAGUUGAUAUUCAGAUAUGGAGUUCCACACAGCAUCAUCACCGACAACGGGUCAAACUUCGAUUCCGACAAAUUCAGGGCCUUUUGCGCCUCUCAGGGCACUCGAGUCGACUAUGCUUCGGUCGCUCACCCCCAGUCGAAUGGGCAAGCAGAAAGGGUGAACGACCUGAUUCUCAAAGGACUAAAACCCCGAUUGAUGCGCGAUCUCAAGCAUGCAGCAGGUGCAUGGGUCGACGAGCUUCCAUCAGUCCUUUGGGGAUUA
Molecule: ribosomal RNA, 393 nt
Filed under: Triticum aestivum (bread wheat)
Lineage: Eukaryota; Viridiplantae; Streptophyta; Magnoliopsida; Poales; Poaceae
Description: partial small subunit ribosomal RNA
Source: RNAcentral